AUGAACGCUGGCGGCGUGCCUCAUCCCUGCAAGUCGAGCGAACAGACGAGGAGCUUGCUCCUCUGACGUUAGCGGCGGACGGGUGAGUAACACGUGGAUAACCUACCUAUAAGACUGGGAUAACUUCGGGAAACCGGAGCUAAUACCGGAUAAUAUAUUGAACCGCAUGGUUCAAUAGUGAAAGACGGUUUUGCUGUCACUUAUAGAUGGAUCCGCGCCGCAUUAGCUAGUUGGUAAGGUAACGGCUUACCAAGGCGACGAUGCGUAGCCGACCUGAGAGGGUGAUCGGCCACACUGGAACUGAGACACGGUCCAGACUCCUACGGGAGGCAGCAGUAGGGAAUCUUCCGCAAUGGGCGAAAGCCUGACGGAGCAACGCCGCGUGAGUGAUGAAGGUCUUCGGAUCGUAAAACUCUGUUAUUAGGGAAGAACAAAUGUGUAAGUAACUAUGCACGUCUUGACGGUACCUAAUCAGAAAGCCACGGCUAACUACGUG
RNAcentral lists this ribosomal RNA (496 nucleotides) under uncultured bacterium. Its description in RNAcentral is "partial 16S ribosomal RNA". It matches the Rfam family "Bacterial small subunit ribosomal RNA", at positions 29 to 507 of the family's 1533-position model. The record is from RNAcentral.